UAAUAAGUUGGCCGCAUCGGCGAAUUAGUGCAACAAAGCAUUUUUUUAAGUUUCGUUGGGGGCGUAUUUUUAAGGUGGCCAAAUCGGAAAAUUGCUACAACAAAGCAUCUUUAUUGGGAACAUGAUAUGUUUAAAUUUGUAAACGGGGCAAAGAAAAUUCAAUUCGCCGUGACAUUUAAACUUUUCGGCAAAUUUGCUUAGACCAAUCAGAGUAAGGCGUAUUUAUCAGGUGGCCGCAUCAACCCGGCAGAGAGAAUUUGAUAUCUCAACUCAUUUUCGAAUUCGCCGUGCAAAAAUAUAAACAUCAAAAUAAAUAUUUUAUAAAUUGUG
Molecule: long non-coding RNA, 330 nt
Organism: Stomoxys calcitrans (stable fly)
Lineage: Eukaryota; Metazoa; Arthropoda; Insecta; Diptera; Muscidae
Exons: 2
Source: RefSeq, a predicted model, not a curated record